RNAcentral lists this ribosomal RNA (739 nucleotides) under uncultured Glomus. RNAcentral describes it as "SSU rRNA". It matches the Rfam family "Eukaryotic small subunit ribosomal RNA", at positions 340 to 1081 of the family's 1831-position model. Lineage: Eukaryota; Fungi; Glomeromycota; Glomeromycetes; Glomerales; Glomeraceae. The record is from RNAcentral.
CCUACCAUGGUGGUAACGGGUAACGGGGUGUUAGGGCACGACACCGGAGAGGGAGCCUGAGAAACGGCUACCACAUCCAAGGAUGGCAGCAGGCGCGCAAAUUACCCAAUCCCGACACGGGGAGGUAGUGACAAUAAAUAACAAUACGGGGUUCUUUCGGAUCUCGUAAUUGGAAUGAGUACAAUUUAAAUCUCUUAACGAGGAACAAUUGGAGGGCAAGUCUGGUGCCAGCAGCCGCGGUAAUUCCAGCUCCAAUAGCGUAUAUUAAAGUUGUUGCAGUUAAAAAGCUCGUAGUUGAAUUUCGGGAUCAAUUUACUGGUCGUGCUAUCGUACGUACUGGUUUUAUUGAUUCCUACCUUCUGACGAACCAUGAUGUCAUUAAUUUGGUGUUAUGGGGAAUCAGGACUGUUACUUUGAAAAAAUUAGAGUGUUUAAAGCAGGCUCACGCUUGAAUACAUUAGCAUGGAAUAACGAAAUAGGACGUUUGAUUCUAUUUUGUUGGUUUCUAGGAUCGACGUAAUGAUUAAUAGGGAUAGUUGGGGGCAUUAGUAUUCAAUUGUCAGAGGUGAAAUUCUUGGAUUUAUUGAAGACUAACUACUGCGAAAGCAUUUGCCAAGGAUGUUUUCAUUAAUCAAGAACGAAAGUUAGGGGAUCGAAGACGAUCAGAUACCGUCGUAGUCUUAACCAUAAACUAUGCCGACUAGGGAUCGGAUGAUGUUAAUUUUUUAAUGACUCAUUC